Long non-coding RNA from Bufo gargarizans (Asiatic toad), 296 nucleotides. RefSeq lists it as uncharacterized. The record is from RefSeq and is a predicted model, not a curated record. The transcript is spliced from 3 exons. NCBI's taxonomy places the organism in Eukaryota, Metazoa, Chordata, Amphibia, Anura, Bufonidae.
UCUCCGAGGAGGCCCUACAAAAGCAGCGCAAGCGGGGCAAACAGCCGUUGAAAAGAAAAAUGGCCACGACCGGCGGCUCCAAAACGGAAUCAAAGAAAGCUAACACAAAGGUUUUUCAGCUGCCGGGUAGCAGCGCACGUACCAACAGAACUGUUUCAUUCCCCGAACCACCAGAGGCGAGCACCAACGCCCGCCUGCCGGGUAGUAGCGCACGUACCAACAGAACUGUUUCAUUCCCCGAACCACCAGAGGCGAUCACUAACGCCCACGACAGUUGGCUGGCGGAAAAUACCGCA